RNAcentral lists this ribosomal RNA (253 nucleotides) under uncultured bacterium. RNAcentral describes it as "partial 16S ribosomal RNA". It matches the Rfam family "Bacterial small subunit ribosomal RNA", at positions 524 to 776 of the family's 1533-position model. The record is from RNAcentral.
UACGUAGGGGGCGAGCGUUGUCCGGAUUUACUGGGCGUAAAGGGCAUGCAGGCGGUCGGACGCGUUUUGUGUGACAGCGCAGGGCUCAACCCUGCGAGCAUACGAAAGACGGUUCGACUUGAGGGCUCGAGAGGGACACGGAAUUCCGGGUGGAGUGGUGAAAUGCGUAGAUAUCUGGAGGAAUACCGGUGGCGAAGGCGGCAUCCUGGACCGGCAUUGACGCUGAGGAGCGAAAGCUAGGGGAGCAAACGGG